Molecule: long non-coding RNA, 546 nt
Filed under: Sorghum bicolor (sorghum)
Lineage: Eukaryota; Viridiplantae; Streptophyta; Magnoliopsida; Poales; Poaceae
Description: long non-coding RNA (SBIC_LNC008890)
Source: RNAcentral
GCUACUAUCUAGAUCUACUCUAGUUUAGAGAAGAGAGGAGAGCUCUCAUCUCUAAACCCUAGCUUUUGCUCUGUCUAUGAAUAAUGAAUAAUGAUGAAGGGGUGCCUCCUCCAGGGGCCAGGGGGUCUGGUUAUAUAGUCCCCUCAAGUGAACCUGGGCCGUCAGAUCAAACCGACAUUGAUUGAACGAUUAUUCUUGAUCCUUUAGGUCGGUGGAGAUCUCCCGAGAGAAAGAGUCCUGAUUGGGCUCCAAGUCAGGGCGGGCGCCCAGGGCAGGAGGGCGGACGCCCUGCCUCUAGCCCCGUUCGGCCUCCGCUUCCUUCCCGUGGCUUCUGGAGUCUUCUAGAUGUAAGAUAAUUGCGCGGCACGUUAAUAUCUCUAUGUAAUCCCGACGUGUGGGCCUUUCUUCCGUAUUUCCUGAUAACCCCCUGCAGAAAUAGACAAACACCAAAACUCGUGGAAUUCUAUCAGAUAAAACCCUAAGUCUAGAUGUUGAUUUCAUUUAGAUCCUUUUCUUUGUUUAUUUGAUAAUUAAAUUUGACACUUA